GCUCAGGUAUACCCUACGGUAUUCUAACAAAGAUACAAUGUCACAACACAUGCGACACAAUAUCAACACAAAGGGGUUCUAACGUGUACAUGUUAAACUGAAACGAAUUCAACACAAAGUCUCCAAAAAUAUACUAACAUGUACAUCACUACAAUAUCAAAAUAAAUUUAUAGUCAUGAUACACUAGUCUAAAGAGUACAAAUAGGAGUUCUAAUAUAAACGCCAAAACAAACUAUCAUAAUAAAUUGACAAGAAAUAAUUGUGAGAGGCAAUACUAAAUUUCGAAACGAAUAACGAAACGAACAAAUUAAAAACAAAAGAG
RNAcentral lists this long non-coding RNA (322 nucleotides) under Panax ginseng (ginseng). Its description in RNAcentral is "long non-coding RNA (PGIN_LNC013786)". Lineage: Eukaryota; Viridiplantae; Streptophyta; Magnoliopsida; Apiales; Araliaceae. The record is from RNAcentral.